This is a long non-coding RNA of Carassius auratus (goldfish), 376 nucleotides long. RefSeq lists it as uncharacterized. The record is from RefSeq and is a predicted model, not a curated record. Lineage: Eukaryota; Metazoa; Chordata; Actinopteri; Cypriniformes; Cyprinidae. The transcript has 3 exons.
GACGUGUACACGGAGCGCACGGAAGUUUGAUGCUAAAUGUUCAGUUAUCCGACUUUAUUUUGACAGGUUUAGUUACAUACGAUAUAUUUAAACAUCCAACGAGCUGGAGGUACAUAGAGGAUGGAUAAAGAAAAGUGAAAGCUGUGUUUUUAGACGCUAGCGUGCGCUUCCUGGCGGAUACUGAGCAUGUCUCUUCUUCAGGCUGUUGAUGAAGCAGUCAAGAUGUGCAAAGCUGAAGAAUCCAGACUCACUGAAAACAUCCGACAGUGCAAGGAGAUUUUACGCUCAAUGAGAACGCGUGUGACAGAAACUGCAGCAGCCGUCGGUACUAAAGACGGUUAGAGGAAAAUCAUUGAUCUAUUUCUAUUUAUUCGUC